This 1496-nucleotide long non-coding RNA is filed under the name Helianthus annuus (common sunflower). Lineage: Eukaryota; Viridiplantae; Streptophyta; Magnoliopsida; Asterales; Asteraceae. The record is from RNAcentral.
UAAAAGGGGCAAAAGGAAAAAAUGUUUUUAAUUAAAACAAAUAAACACCAAAACACACACACAUGUGUGUGUUUGGUCGACGUAUACACAGAGCCAGGAGAAGGGUUCUUUUCAAAACCCUAAACUCACUAAAAUCCAUCAAAAUCUAAGGGAAAUCGAGUUGGAAAUUAGGGCUUUAACUAAAUUCAUGAUCAACCAUGCUAGGAGAUCACAAGUUGACUCUAAACAAGCUAGGUGGGAGCUUGGAAAGGAACGGGUCAAACGGAUCAUGGAUGCGAAGAAUGUUUGCGCGAACGCGAGGUAAGUAAAGCUUACGCCCAAUUGUAGUAAACGUAUGUAUUUUAUAGAUGAUAAAUGUGACAACCGAUUACAUUCGAAAUUGAAGUUCCGACACUAAGCGAUGUGAGUCGGAACGAAUAAAAAUGAUCAAAACCAUGGUUAAUGGUAAAAUGGACAAAAGGGUAAUUUAGUCGUGAAUCGACUAAGAAUUUAUAAGAUUUCUUUAAGGUUACCUUAUAGCGAAACUUGAAAUGGGUCGGAUGUGUGAAGGGGAUAUUAAAAGUCAUGUUUUGACAUAAGUAUAAAUGUUUGGUCAUAAAUACCAAAUGGGUCAAAUGGUGGUGAUGACACCAUUUGACAAUAUCGACUAAUGUUUGGUUGUUAAGUUAAAUGUUCACAGGAGUGAACGGGAAGUGGAUUAUUGCGUUGCUAUAAAGUAGCGGCUAAUAAAAGAAAGGUACAAAACGGGUCUAUAUGUUGACUCGAGCCAGGUACGCAUUAAUUAGAUCAUGGCGAUAUGCGUAGUUGUAUUUUAAAAUAUAAGUUACUAUGAAAUAUAGCGAUGAUAUCGCCACAUUGAAUAUUUGGUCAAAAGAUGGUUAGAACUCGUUGGUAGUCGUCAAAAAGGAAGGAAUUCCGUAGACGAGCCAAACGGGUCGAAUAAUCAAGUAAGGCAUGGUUAUUGUUUCGGAUUAUGAUGGUUUGAUGGUUGAUUUUGAAUAUUUUAUAACAUAUUAGAAAUAUGAGGUUUUAAUGAAUUAGUAUCAUAGAAAACUGAAAACCGAGAGUCGGGUCUUGGAGUAAUGAUCAAACAAAACAAAACCUGACAUUCCAGGUACUACCGUAAAUUACGGUAGAACCGUAAUUUACGGUGGUUGUGAUAUGGUUUACGGAGCAGAUCUCCUGGUUUACGGUGACCAGACAUUUCCAGGUCUCACCGUAAAUUACGGUGAUACCGUAAUUUACGGUGGAUUCAGAAUCACUUUUUAUAUUUUUGUUAUUUCUAAUGUGGCAUUAAGCCUUGGGAUUAUGUUAUUAUAUAACAACGUCAAAACUAAUGAUUUUAACGGUUUUGAUCAUAGGUGAAUGCCAAGAGUGCCCGGAUGAAGAUCAAGCUCGAUGAGGAACCGAACACAAUAAAAUCUAACACUCGGGAUUAAAGCUUCCGCACGGCGUUACGCCAUAUCUUUUAAACGACGAACUUAUUUAUAUUACGU